AACGAACGCUGGCGGCAGGCUUAACACAUGCAAGUCGAACGAGAUCUUCGGAUCUAGUGGCAGACGGGUGAGGAACACGUGGGAACAUCCCUUUCAGUUCGGAAUAACGUUGGGAAACUAACGCUAAUACCGGAUACGUCCUUCGGGAGCAAGAUUUAUCGCUGAAAGAUUGGCCCGCGUCUGAUUAGCUAGUUGGUGAGGUAAUGGCGCACCAAGGCUACGAUCAGUAGCUGAUCUGAGAGGAUGAUCAGCCACAUUGGGGCUGAGACACGGCCCAAACUCCUACGGGAGGCAGCAGUGGGGAAUAUUGGACAAUGGGCGCAAGCCUGAUCCAGCCAUGCCGCGUGAGUGAUGACGGCCUUCGGGUUGUAAAGCUCUUUUGUCCGGGAAGAUAAUGACUGUACCGGAAGAAUAAGCCCCGGCAAACUUCGUGCCAGCCGCCGCCGUAA
This 449-nucleotide ribosomal RNA is filed under the name uncultured bacterium. RNAcentral's name for it is "partial 16S ribosomal RNA". It matches the Rfam family "Bacterial small subunit ribosomal RNA", at positions 29 to 523 of the family's 1533-position model. The record is from RNAcentral.